GAGUUUGAUCUUGGCUCAGGAUGAACGCUAGCGGCAGGCUUAACACAUGCAAGUCGAGGGGUAUAGUAGCAAUACUAGAGACCGGCGCACGGGUGCGUAACGCGUAUGCAACCUACCUUUUACAGAGGGAUAGCCCAGAGAAAUUUGGAUUAAUACCUCAUAGUAUAAUUGAAUGGCAUCAUUUAAUUAUUAAAGUCACAACGGUAAAAGAUGGGCAUGCGUCCCAUUAGCUAGAUGGUAAGGUAACGGCUUACCAUGGCAACGAUGGGUAGGGGUCCUGAGAGGGAGAUCCCCCACACUGGUACUGAGACACGGACCAGACUCCUACGGGAGGCAGCAGUGAGGAAUAUCGGUCAAUGGGCGCAAGCCUGGACCAGCCAUGCCGCGUGCAGGAUGACGGUCCUAUGGAUUGUAAACUGCUUUUGCACAGGAAGAAACACUCGGACGUGUCCGAGCUUGACGGUACUGUGAGAAUAAGGAUCGGGCUAACUCCGUGCCAGCAGCCGCCGUAAAG
Molecule: ribosomal RNA, 514 nt
Filed under: uncultured bacterium
Lineage: Bacteria
Description: bacterial SSU rRNA
Rfam family: Bacterial small subunit ribosomal RNA
Source: RNAcentral